AGUGAACGCUGGCGGUAGGCCUAACACAUGCAAGUCGAACGGCAGCACAGUAAGAGCUUGCUCUUACGGUUGGCGAGUGGCGGACGGGUGAGGAAUACAUCGGAAUCUACUUUUUCGUGGGGGAUAACGUAGGGAAGCUUACGCUAAUACCGCAUACGACCUACGGGUGAAAGCAGGGGAUCUUCGGACCUUGCGCGAUUGAAUGAGCCGAUGUCGGAUUAGCUAGUUGGCGGGGUAAAGGCCCACCAAGGCGACGAUCCGUAGCUGGUCUGAGAGGAUGAUCAGCCACACUGGAACUGAGACACGGUCCAGACUCCUACGGGAGGCAGCAGUGGGGAAUAUUGGACAAUGGGCGCAAGCCUGAUCCAGCCAUACCGCGUGGGUGAAGAAGGCCUUCGGGUUGUAAAGCCCUUUUGUUGGGAAAGAAAAGCAGCAGGUUAAUACCCCGCUGUUCUGACGGUACCCAAAGAAUAAGCACCGGCUAACUUCGUG
Molecule: ribosomal RNA, 492 nt
Filed under: uncultured bacterium
Lineage: Bacteria
Description: partial 16S ribosomal RNA
Rfam family: Bacterial small subunit ribosomal RNA
Source: RNAcentral